UUGGAGGGCAAGUCUGGUGCCAGCAGCCGCGGUAAUUCCGGCUCCAAUAGCGUAUAUUAAAGUUGUUGCAGUUAAAAAGCUCGUAGUUGAAUUUCGGGAUCAAUAUUUCGGUCAUGCCGUUGGUAUGCACUGUUAUCAUUGAUUUCUCACCUUCUAAAGAACCGUAAUGCCAUUAAUUUGGUGUUACGGGGAAUUAGGACUGUUACCUUGAAAAAAUUAGAGUGUUUAAAGCAGGCUCACGCUUGAAUACAUUAGCAUGGAAUAAUGAAAUAGGACAUCCGAUUCUAUUUUGUUGGUUUCUAGGAUCGAUGUAAUGAUUAAUAGGGAUAGUUGGGGGCAUUAGUAUUCAAUUGUCAGAGGUGAAAUUCUUGGAUUUAUUGAAGACUAACUACUGCGAAAGCAUUUGCCAAGGAUGUUUUCAUUAAUCAAGAACGAAAGCUAGGGGAUCGAAGACGAUCAGAUACCGUCGUAGUCUUAACCAUAAACUAUGCCGACUAGGGAUCGGAUGAUGUUAAUUUUUUAAUGACCCAUUCGGCGCCUUACGGGAAAC
This 550-nucleotide ribosomal RNA is filed under the name Funneliformis mosseae. RNAcentral describes it as "SSU rRNA". It matches the Rfam family "Eukaryotic small subunit ribosomal RNA", at positions 548 to 1098 of the family's 1831-position model. Lineage: Eukaryota; Fungi; Glomeromycota; Glomeromycetes; Glomerales; Glomeraceae. The record is from RNAcentral.